This 253-nucleotide ribosomal RNA is filed under the name uncultured bacterium. RNAcentral's name for it is "partial 16S ribosomal RNA". It matches the Rfam family "Bacterial small subunit ribosomal RNA", at positions 524 to 776 of the family's 1533-position model. The record is from RNAcentral.
UACGGAGGGUGCAAACGUUGCUCGGAAUCAUUGGGCGUAAAGCGCACGUAGGCGGUUCGGUAAGUCGGAUGUGAAAUCCCUCGGCUCAACCGAGGAAGUGCAUCCGAAACUGCCGAGCUUGAGUACGGAAGAGGGUCUCGGAAUUCCCGGUGUAGAGGUGAAAUUCGUAGAUAUUCGCAAGAACACCAGUGGCGAAGGCGGCUGACUGGUCCGGUUCUGACGCUGAGGCGCGAAAGCGUGGGGAGCAAACAGG